UCUGGUAACCAGCACGGGCGUCGGAGUUACAUCCACGCCCGUGUACGCAUGUUAAGGGGGAUGAAAAUAAU
RNAcentral lists this small RNA (71 nucleotides) under Izhakiella capsodis. RNAcentral's name for it is "tpke11". It matches the Rfam family "tpke11". Rfam says of the family: In Yersinia located in ICR upstream dnaJ (chaperone)gene. Has temperature responsive RNA structure. Lineage: Bacteria; Pseudomonadati; Pseudomonadota; Gammaproteobacteria; Enterobacterales; Erwiniaceae. The record is from Rfam by way of RNAcentral.